Molecule: transfer RNA, 73 nt
Filed under: Vicugna pacos (alpaca)
Lineage: Eukaryota; Metazoa; Chordata; Mammalia; Artiodactyla; Camelidae
Also listed under: 1 other name
Rfam family: tRNA
About the family: Transfer RNA (tRNA) molecules are approximately 80 nucleotides in length. Their secondary structure includes four short double-helical elements and three loops (D, anti-codon, and T loops). Further hydrogen bonds mediate the characteristic L-shaped molecular structure. tRNAs have two regions of fundamental functional importance: the anti-codon, which is responsible for specific mRNA codon recognition, and the 3' end, to which the tRNAs corresponding amino acid is attached (by aminoacyl-tRNA synthetases). tRNAs cope with the degeneracy of the genetic code in two manners: having more than one tRNA (with a specific anti-codon) for a particular amino acid; and 'wobble' base-pairing, i.e. permitting non-standard base-pairing at the 3rd anti-codon position.
Source: Rfam by way of RNAcentral
GAGGGUAUAGCUCAAGUGGUAGAGCACAUGCCUAGCAUGCCUGAGAUCCUGGAUUCAAUCCCCAGUGCCUCUG